AGUGUGGGCUGGAGCGCCGCUGUAUUGUGAAAAUUGAUGCAGAGGAAAGUCCGGACUCCAAAAAACUUUUUGGCCUAGGCUUAAAAGGGUGGGCACCAGGCCAGUUAACGGCUGGGCGGAGUGAUCCGACGGAAAGUGCAACAGAAAACAAACCGCCUAUUGUCGCUCGCGGCAUAGGUAAGGGUGAAAUGGUGGGGUAAGAGCCCACCGCUGGAUCGGUAACGAUACAGGCAUGGUAAACCCCCUGGGGAGCAAAACCAAAUAGGUCGGCGUACCUUAACUGGUGAAAGAUUGGCCCAAUCAAGCCGAUGGGUAGGUUGCUAGAGGUGGCAGGCGACUGUCAUCCCAGAGGAAUGGCGCUCUUUUACAGAAUCCGGCUUAUAGGCCCACCUUAGAG
RNAcentral lists this RNase P RNA (397 nucleotides) under Holophagales bacterium. RNAcentral describes it as "RNase P RNA component class A". It matches the Rfam family "Bacterial RNase P class A". Rfam says of the family: Ribonuclease P (RNase P) is a ubiquitous endoribonuclease, found in archaea, bacteria and eukarya as well as chloroplasts and mitochondria. Lineage: Bacteria; Pseudomonadati; Acidobacteriota; Holophagae; Holophagales. The record is from RNAcentral.